UUUUUGCAGCGGUGGAUGUCUUGGCUCGAGAUGUGAUGAAGAACGUAGCGAACCACGAUAUUCCUUGUGAAUUGCGAAGUUUCGGGAAUCAACAGAGUUUUGAACGCAUGCGGCGCGCUGGCUAGUCAUAGCGCGUGUCUGAGUCGGUAUUA
RNAcentral lists this ribosomal RNA (152 nucleotides) under Ichthyodinium chabelardi. Its description in RNAcentral is "5.8S ribosomal RNA". It matches the Rfam family "5.8S ribosomal RNA". Rfam says of the family: 5.8S ribosomal RNA (5.8S rRNA) is a component of the large subunit of the eukaryotic ribosome. It is transcribed by RNA polymerase I as part of the 45S precursor that also contains 18S and 28S rRNA. The record is from RNAcentral. Lineage: Eukaryota; Dinophyceae; Syndiniales; Ichthyodiniaceae.